AGCAUUGCACAGUGGCAGUGUUGUAGCCAGGGAGGUUUAUCCAAGGUGCAAAGAUUGUUCAUUAAAACUUUUCCCAAUACCCCACCAUGAUGACUUGAAAUAGGCAAAAAAAAGAGAGCUCCCUGUACAUUUUAUGACAAAGUAAGAUACC
This is a small nuclear RNA of Cavia porcellus (domestic guinea pig), 151 nucleotides long. Its record names the gene U4. It matches the Rfam family "U4 spliceosomal RNA". Rfam says of the family: U4 small nuclear RNA (U4 snRNA) is a component of the major U2-dependent spliceosome. The structure of U4 snRNA from yeast and human has been reported. The record is from Ensembl. Lineage: Eukaryota; Metazoa; Chordata; Mammalia; Rodentia; Caviidae.